CAGGACGAACGCUGGCGGCGGUGCUUAACACAUGCAAGUCGAACGGUGAAGCGGGUGCUUGCACUCGUGGAUCAGUGGCGAACGGGUGAGUAACACGUGAGUAACCUGCCCAUCACUCUGGGAUAAGCGCUGGAAACGGCGUCUAAUACUGGAUACGACCAACCCUUGCAUGGGGUGUUGGUGGAAAGAUUUAUCGGUGGUGGAUGGACUCGCGUCCUAUCAGCUUGUUGGUGGGGUAAUGGCCUACCAAGGCGACGACGGGUAGCCGGCCUGAGAGGGCGACCGGCCACACUGGGACUGAGACACGGCCCAGACUCCUACGGGAGGCAGCAGUGGGGAAUAUUGCACAAUGGGCGAAAGCCUGAUGCAGCGACGCCGCGUGAGGGAUGACGGCCUUCGGGUUGUAAACCUCUUUCAGCAGGGAAGAAGCUUUUGUGACGGUACCUGCAGAAGAAGCACCGGCUAACUACGUGCCAGCAGCCGCGGUAAUACGUAGGGUGCGAGCGUUGUCCGGAAUUAUUGGGCGUAAAGAGCUUGUAGGCGGUUUGUCGCGUCUGCUGUGAAAAUCUAGGGCUUAACCCUGGACGUGCAGUGGGUACGGGCAGACUAGAGUGUGGUAGGGGAGACUGGAAUUCCUGGUGUAGCGGUGGAAUGCGCAGAUAUCAGGAGGAACACCGAUGGCGAAGGCAGGUCUCUGGGCCAUUACUGACCGCCUGAGAAGCGAAAGCAUGGGGAGCGAACAGGAU
This 746-nucleotide ribosomal RNA is filed under the name Kytococcus schroeteri. RNAcentral's name for it is "bacterial SSU rRNA". It matches the Rfam family "Bacterial small subunit ribosomal RNA", at positions 25 to 778 of the family's 1533-position model. Lineage: Bacteria; Bacillati; Actinomycetota; Actinomycetes; Micrococcales; Kytococcaceae. The record is from RNAcentral.